AUGUCCAGUCCUCCAUGUCUGUGCCAAUCUUGUCACAUCUCUGAAGCUAAGCAGGGCUGGGCCUGGUUAAUACUUGGAUGAGAGACCUCUGGGAAUAUCAGCACUGGCUCUU
Molecule: ribosomal RNA, 112 nt
Filed under: Periophthalmus magnuspinnatus
Lineage: Eukaryota; Metazoa; Chordata; Actinopteri; Gobiiformes; Gobiidae
Source: RNAcentral